Molecule: ribosomal RNA, 372 nt
Filed under: uncultured organism
Description: partial 16S ribosomal RNA
Rfam family: Bacterial small subunit ribosomal RNA
Source: RNAcentral
GUAGGUGGCAAGCGUUGUCCGGAAUUAUUGGGCGUAAAGCGCGCGCAGGCGGUUCUUUAAGUCUGAUGUGAAAGCCCACGGCUCAACCGUGGAGGGUCAUUGGAAACUGGAGAACUUGAGUACAGAAGAGGAAAGCGGAAUUCCACGUGUAGCGGUGAAAUGCGUAGAGAUGUGGAGGAACACCAGUGGCGAAGGCGGCUUUCUGGUCUGUAACUGACGCUGAGGCGCGAAAGCGUGGGGGAGCAAACAGGAUUAGAUACCCUGGUAGUCCACGCCGUAAACGAUGAGUGCUAAGUGUUAGGGGGUUCCCCGCCCCUUAGAGCUGCAGCUAACGCAUUAAGCACUCCGCCUGGGAGUACGGCCGCAAGGCUG